UGGGGAAUUUUGGACAAUGGGCGAAAGCCUGAUCCAGCAAUGCCGCGUGUGUGAAGAAGGCCUUCGGGUUGUAAAGCACUUUUGUCCGGAAAGAAAUCCUUGGCUCUAAUACAGUCGGGGGAUGACGGUACCGGAAGAAUAAGCACCGGCUAACUACGUGCCAGCAGCCGCGGUAAUACGUAGGGUGCAAGCGUUAAUCGGAAUUACUGGGCGUAAAGCGUGCGCAGGCGGUUUGCUAAGACCGAUGUGAAAUCCCCGGGCUCAACCUGGGAACUGCAUUGGUGACUGGCAGGCUAGAGUAUGGCAGAGGGGGGUAGAAUUCCACGUGUAGCAGUGAAAUGCGUAGAGAUGUGGAGGAAUACCGAUGGCGAAGGCAGCCCCCUGGGCCAAUACUGACGCUCAUGCACGAAAAGCGUGGGGAGCAAAACAGGAUUAGAUACCCUGGUAGUCCGCGCCCUAAAACGAUGUCAACUAGUUGUUGGGGAUUCAUUUCCUUAGUAACGUAGCUAACGCGUGAAGUUGACCGCCUGGGGAGUACGGUCGCAAGAUUAAAACUCAAAGGAAUUGACGGGGUCAUAGCUGUUUCCU
This 588-nucleotide ribosomal RNA is filed under the name uncultured bacterium. Its description in RNAcentral is "partial 16S ribosomal RNA". It matches the Rfam family "Bacterial small subunit ribosomal RNA", at positions 355 to 1375 of the family's 1533-position model. The record is from RNAcentral.